CGCGUAGGUGGUUUGAUAAGCGAGAUGUAAAAGCCCCGGGCUUAACCUGGGAACGGCAUUUCGAACUGUCAGGCUAGAGUAUGGUAGAGGAGUGUGGAAUUUCCUGUGUAGCGGUGAAAUGCGUAGAUAUAGGAAGGAACACCAGUGGCGAAGGCGGCACUCUGGACCAAUACUGACACUGAGGUGCGAAAGCGUGGGGAGCAAACA
RNAcentral lists this ribosomal RNA (207 nucleotides) under uncultured bacterium. RNAcentral describes it as "partial 16S ribosomal RNA". It matches the Rfam family "Bacterial small subunit ribosomal RNA", at positions 568 to 774 of the family's 1533-position model. The record is from RNAcentral.